GGCGGCGUGCUUAACACAUGCAAGUCGAACGGAAAGGCCCUUCGGGGUGCUCGAGUGGCGAACGGGUGAGUAACACGUGGGUGAUCUGCCCUGCACUUUGGGAUAAGCCUGGGAAACUGGGUCUAAUACCGAAUAGGACUCCGGCCUUCAUGGGUUGGGGUGGAAAGCUUUUGCGGUGUGGGAUGGGCCCGCGGCCUAUCAGCUUGUUGGUGGGGUAAUGGCCUACCAAGGCGACGACGGGUAGCCGGCCUGAGAGGGUGACCGGCCACACUGGGACUGAGAUACGGCCCAGACUCCUACGGGAGGCAGCAGUGGGGAAUAUUGCACAAUGGGCGCAAGCCUGAUGCAGCCGACGCCGCGUGAGGGAUGACGGCCUUCGGGUUGUAAACCUCUUUCAGCACAGACGAAGCGCAAGUGACGGUAUGUGCAGAAGAAGGACCGGCCAACUACGUGCCAGCAGCCGCGGUAAUACGUAGGGUCCGAGCGUUGUCCGGAAUUACUGGGCGUAAAGAGCUCGUAGGUGGUUUGUCGCGUUGUUCGUGAAAACUCACAGCUUAACUGUGGGCGUGCGGGCGAUACGGGCAGACUGGAGUACUGCAGGGGAGACUGGAAUUCCUGGUGUUGCGGUGGAAUGCGCAGAUAUCAGGAGGAACACCGGUGGCGAAGGCGGGUCUCUGGGCAGUAACUGACGCUGAGGAGCGAAAGCGUGGGGAGCGAACAGGAUUAGAUACCCUGGUAGUCCACGCCGUAAACGGUGGGUACUAGGUGUGGGUUUCCUUCCUUGGGAUCCGUGCCGUAGCUAACGCAUUAAGUACCCCGCCUGGGGAGUACGGCCGCAAGGCUAAAACUCAAAGGAAUUGACGGGGGCCCGCACAAGCGGCGGAGCAUGUGGAUUAAUUCGAUGCAACGCGAAGAACCUUACCUGGGUUUGACAUGCUCAGGACGCCAGUAGAGAUAUUGGUUCCCUUGUGGCCUGUGUGCAGGUGGUGCAUGGCUGUCGUCAGCUCGUGUCGUGAGAUUGGGUUAAGUCCCGCAACGAGCGCAACCCUUGUCCUAUGUUGCCAGCGGGUUAUGCCGGGGACUCGUAGGAGACUGCCGGGGUCAACUCGGAGGAAGGUGGGGAUGACGUCAAGUCAUCAUGCCCCUUAUGUCCAGGGCUUCACACAUGCUACAAUGGCCGGUACAAAGGGCUGCGAUGCCGUGAGGUGGAGCGAAUCCUUGUAAAGCCGGUCUCAGUUCGGAUCGGGGUCUGCAACCCGACCCCGUGAAGUCGGAGUCGCUAGUAAUCGCAGAUCAGCAACGCUGCGGUGAAUACGUUCCCGGGCCUUGUACACACCGCCCGUCACGUCAUGAAAGUCGGUAACACCGAAGCCGGUGGCCUAACCCCUUGUGGGAGGGAGCCGUCGAAGGUGGGUCGG
RNAcentral lists this ribosomal RNA (1418 nucleotides) under Mycobacterium sp. ESD. Its description in RNAcentral is "bacterial SSU rRNA". It matches the Rfam family "Bacterial small subunit ribosomal RNA". The record is from RNAcentral. Lineage: Bacteria; Bacillati; Actinomycetota; Actinomycetes; Mycobacteriales; Mycobacteriaceae.